This 467-nucleotide ribosomal RNA is filed under the name uncultured bacterium. RNAcentral's name for it is "partial 16S ribosomal RNA". It matches the Rfam family "Bacterial small subunit ribosomal RNA", at positions 28 to 507 of the family's 1533-position model. The record is from RNAcentral.
GACGAACGCUGGCGGCGUGCUUAACACAUGCAAGUCGAACGGAAAGGCCUCUUUCGGGGGGUACUCGAGUGGCGAACGGGUGAGUAACACGUGAGUAACCUGCCCUUGACUUUGGGAUAACUUCAGGAAACUGGGGCUAAUACCGGAUAGGAGCUACUGCUGCCUGGUGGGGGUUGGAAAGUUUCGGCGGUUGGGGAUGGACUCGCGGCUUAUCAGCUUGUUGGUGGGGUAGUGGCUUACCAAGGCGUUGACGGGUAGCCGGCCUGAGAGGGUGAGCGGCCACCUUGGGACUGAGAUACGGCCCAGACUCCUACGGGAGGCAGCAGUGGGGAAUAUUGCACAAGGGGUGGAAGCCUGAUGCAGCAACGCCGUGUGCGGGAUGACGGCCUUCGGGUUGUAAACCGCUUUCGCUCAUGACGAAGCUUUGUGUGACGGUAGUGGGUAAAGAAGCACCGGCUAACUACGUG